GUGAAGAGGUUAUGAAACAGAGGAAGCAUCUUCAAUUUGGGAUGAAUUGAAUGUUAGAUGACAAAAAAGAAAGGUGAUAAAAUCCUUAUAUUUGCACCGGAACAUUGUAAAAAUGAUUUAGUAGGAAUUCACAUAUUUGUACGUUGAUAGCUUAAUGUAAUAUUAAUGAACUAGUAAUUUGUUACCACACACAUGUAUGUCAGCCAUCUAUUUAUUGUCUUUGGAAAUUCAUCUCAUCAAUAGCAAUCCAUGUAUUGUUUUCAUAUAUCUCGCUCUUUAUCUUGUAGAUUUUUAGUUCAUUUAUUGCUUGAACUUUCAUCUCAAUAGAAAUUCAUGUAUUCUUGUUCUUUCCCCUUUUCAGUGAGUUGAGAGAGGAGGAGGUGGUUUAGAGUAAUGCACAUGUCCACUAUUGAAUGCGAAGCUCUAACAGAAAUCAAAGGUAUACACGACACAAAGUUUGCCUCCUAUCUCUAAAAAAAAAUAGAAAAGUUUUGUUCCCAAUAUGAUUAUCGGAUAUCAGCUUAGCAAUUAUUUUUAUCAGGAUUUGGGUAACAAUAUGCAAGCUAUUACCGCUCUUAGCUCCAUUGGUGAAUGGAAAUUUGCGCUGACAUUCU
This 614-nucleotide long non-coding RNA is filed under the name Nicotiana tabacum (common tobacco). Its description in RNAcentral is "long non-coding RNA (NTAB_LNC015817)". The record is from RNAcentral. Lineage: Eukaryota; Viridiplantae; Streptophyta; Magnoliopsida; Solanales; Solanaceae.